This 253-nucleotide ribosomal RNA is filed under the name uncultured bacterium. RNAcentral describes it as "partial 16S ribosomal RNA". It matches the Rfam family "Bacterial small subunit ribosomal RNA", at positions 524 to 776 of the family's 1533-position model. The record is from RNAcentral.
UACGUAGGGUGCAAGCGUUAUCCGGAAUUAUUGGGCGUAAAGAGCUCGUAGGCGGUUUGUCGCGUCUGCUGUGAAAACUGGGGGCUCAACCCCCAGCCUGCAGUGGGUACGGGCAGACUAGAGUGCGGUAGGGGAGAUUGGAAUUCCUGGUGUAGCGGUGGAAUGCGCAGAUAUCAGGAGGAACACCGGUGGCGAAGGCGGAUCUCUGGGCCAUAACUGACGCUGAGGAACGAAAGCGUGGGUAGCGAACAGG